AUUUAGAUAGUUUAAUAAAAAUGUUGAUUUGUGGUGUCAAAGUUGUAUAAUAUAUACUUUAAAUU
Molecule: transfer RNA, 65 nt
Filed under: Ectoneura hanitschi
Lineage: Eukaryota; Metazoa; Arthropoda; Insecta; Blattodea; Ectobiidae
Description: tRNA-His
Source: RNAcentral